Priapulus caudatus is the source of this 770-nucleotide long non-coding RNA. RefSeq lists it as uncharacterized. The transcript is spliced from 3 exons. The record is from RefSeq and is a predicted model, not a curated record. NCBI's taxonomy places the organism in Eukaryota, Metazoa, Priapulida, Priapulimorpha, Priapulimorphida, Priapulidae.
ACGUUACACUGUAAGGAAAUGUGGGGCUUAUCUCAGCUAUGCAAUCCUAAUUAAACUUCAUUAGAUUAUCCAUCAUAUUUUGACAGUCAGAAAAGCUAACAAACCUCUACGUUUCAUAAAUGUGCUCUUAAGCUCUUAAUAAGUUAAAAAUCUUGUUACUUAUUAUAUCAAGUACUUACUCAAUUGUCUGUCAUUUAUUUCCUCAUUGUUAUUGAUAUAAAACAUCUUUGCAAUGGGAAUUGUUGUCUAGGAGCAGCCUGUCUGAUCAUAGCGCCGCCUAUCAUCACAGCACUCGACGCCCCCUGGUGAGACCAUAACUCUCUACAUCAAGCUCGUCGCCCUCUGGUGAGACCACAGCACUCUACAUCAAGCUUAGCGCCCCCAGAUUUGAUUUUGUCGUUUCCAUGGAGAAUCACUGACGGGUCACCACUUUCCAAUUAAAGAAACUGCUAAUUAAGAACAAAGUGUGAGGGCCUCUCUUACGCCCUGUAGAGGAAUGCCGCAGAAGAGGAGAAGCAGAAGCAGAGGAGGCAGAGGGAGCAUGAUGCACACCGAUUCGCGUCGUGGGACUUCCUAGACAUUACCAUCGUAACUGACGGCUACAGUGUUUUAUACUGAUAUUCCACGUGUUUUUUAGACAAAUUUGUUGUAUUUUAUACUAAUCGUUUAUUGUAAGUAAAGUUCAAUCCCAUACAUGUAUGAGAAUGUGGUCUCGCGUUUUAUGUGUACGACAGCGGCCUGUUGUCAGAAAUUCUCAUUUCAUGCUCAUU